AGGGCUAUAGCUCAGUUAGGUAGAGCACCUCGUUUACACACCGGGAAGGUCUACGGUUCGAGUCCGUAUAGCCCUA
Molecule: transfer RNA, 76 nt
Filed under: Trillium decumbens
Lineage: Eukaryota; Viridiplantae; Streptophyta; Magnoliopsida; Liliales; Melanthiaceae
Also listed under: 2 other names
Description: tRNA-Val
Rfam family: tRNA
About the family: Transfer RNA (tRNA) molecules are approximately 80 nucleotides in length.
Source: RNAcentral